This 253-nucleotide ribosomal RNA is filed under the name uncultured bacterium. Its description in RNAcentral is "partial 16S ribosomal RNA". It matches the Rfam family "Bacterial small subunit ribosomal RNA", at positions 524 to 776 of the family's 1533-position model. The record is from RNAcentral.
UACGGGGGGGGUAAGCGUUGUUCGGAAUUACUGGGCGUAAAGGGCUCGUAGGCGGCCAACUAAGUCAGACGUGAAAUCCCCAGGCUUAACCUGGGAACUGCGUCUGAUACUGGAUGGCUUGAAUCCGGGAGAGGGAUGCAGAAUUCCAGGUGUAGCGGUGAAAUGCGUAGAUAUCUGGAGGAAUACCGGUGGCGAAGGCGGCAUCCUGGACCGGCAUUGAUGCUGAGGAGCGAAAGCCAGGGGAGCAAACGGG